This 329-nucleotide ribosomal RNA is filed under the name uncultured Micromonosporaceae bacterium. RNAcentral describes it as "bacterial SSU rRNA". It matches the Rfam family "Bacterial small subunit ribosomal RNA", at positions 20 to 350 of the family's 1533-position model. The record is from RNAcentral. Lineage: Bacteria; Bacillati; Actinomycetota; Actinomycetes; Micromonosporales; Micromonosporaceae.
UGGCUCAGAACGAACGCUGGCGGCGUGCUUAACACAUGCAAGUCGUGCGGAAAGGCCCCUUUGGGGGUGCUCGAGCGGCGAACGGGUGAGUAACACGUGAGUAACCUGCCUCUGGCUUUGGGAUAACCCUCGGAAACGGGGGCUAAUACCGGAUAUGACCUGUCUCUGCAUGGGGGUGGGUGUAAAGGGUUUCUGGUUGGGGAUGGGCUCGCGGCCUAUCAGCUUGUUGGUGGGGUGAUGGCCUACCAAGGCGAGGAAGAGUAGCCGGCCUGAGAGGGCGACCGGCCACAUUGGGAUUGUUCUCACGGCCCAAGAUCCUACGGGAGGCA